UUUUAUCAAUUUGGGAAGGAAUUUGUGGUUCUGAAUUUAUAUAAUCUGUAAAUGCGCGACAUAACAUAAAAUAAUUAUACGUAGUGUAAUUAUAUUCAGCUGUGAGCGCUUUGGAAGUGUGCUGUAUAAUGAAAGUGUUUGUUUAUUUGCCUGUCAGUUUCAACAAAAUGACACGUUUAUCUAGUCUAGGUUUGUGAUAAUCCAUGUUAAGAUGGUAACAGUUAUUUGUUGAUAGAGCAAAUUGAUAAGAUGUUAUGCAUGGUUUUCUCAGAUAUUGAAAUGUGACCCUUGCUCUAUAGAUUAUUUUCUGAAAAAUACGUUUGAACUACACACCCUGGCUGCCACUUCUCUGCACAUUCUCAAGAAUGUUAUCUAAAAUCUUUUUGAGUAGGCUACAUCAAGAGAUUGGAUGACUCAGGGAUUGCUUGCAUCAAUACAACUCUCCACUCAUCCCCUGUUAUUUCCAAUCUUUCUUCUAGGGAAGCAUAAAGUGCCUUAGACAGAAUGAGUGUCACCAACUACACAGAGGAAAGUAUGAGCAAGAUGGACAAAAGCAGUUCCUCUGGAUGUACACAGGAGGAAAACGUCCUUCAGCUGGAAAGACAUGGUCAUGUUCCUUGAGGGAGAGGACUGCUAGCAUUGAAAGUACGGUAUGCAAUAAGAAUUGAGCAGUAAAGGAAGGCUAACCGAUAUCAGAGCCUUUUUAUGUGUAAAUAGGUUAUGUAAAGAAACACUGACAAUGGUGACUGACUGUUAGACUUAUUCUUAGAGGAGUAUCUACCAUGGUGGAUAAAUGAAUAUAUCCCAUAAAGGCUGUUUACCAUUAAAAAAGGUAGGUCACAGUUCCGGUCUACUUAAGGAGUGGCUCUCCCAUACGCACCAAUGCAAUAGCAGCUGAGUCUGAUCUAGUUAGUUCAUUGACUGUGUAUAAACCAGAAAAAAUAUCUUGCUUGCUCUUCCGUCUCAGGUAUCUACCACAAAUCACGUGACAAUAUUUUUGCCCACAAUUCCAGAACAACACGUGCUCCGGUCGUUAAAGAACGAGCGUAUCUUUGCUUGGCAGCCCGGCGAAGACCUGUCCACGGAGUAGAUGUGUGAGGUCACGUUCAGACGCUGCAAUCAGCUGUUCCGAUGUUUGGUGGGACAGUGGCCAACUCCGGAUCCCAGAGACAUAGCCGAGUCAGAGACCCCAAGACUGCUGGUGAUGCCAGGAGUGAUGGUAGGAGAUACGGGGGAAAAACUGGGUGAGAACGGACUGGACAAUGAACAGGUUUAAUACCAUUUGUUUUUAUAGAAAAUAAAAUGAUGCCUUUCAUCACACCAUCCUAUUCUUUGGCAUUCAGUCUAAAUGAGAAACAUUCGUGUUAUUAUAUUACUAAACACUCAUUCAUUGUGAACAACGUCUUUUUGCGCCCCUACUGGAUGGAAAUUAUAAAUGUAAUGGCUGUGCUCAAUGCAAUGGCACUUAUAAAUGUAGAUCCUUCAA
Non-coding RNA from Oncorhynchus mykiss (rainbow trout), 1486 nucleotides. The record is from RefSeq and is a predicted model, not a curated record. Lineage: Eukaryota; Metazoa; Chordata; Actinopteri; Salmoniformes; Salmonidae.